GACGAGGCACUACGGUGCUGAAGCAACAAAUGCCCUGCUUCCAGGAAAAGCCUCUAAGCAUCAGGUAACAUCAAAUCGUACCCCAAACCGACACAGGUGGUCAGGUAGAGAAUACCAAGGCGCUUGAGAGAACUCGGGUGAAGGAACUAGGCAAAAUGGUGCCGUAACUUCGGGAGAAGGCACGCUGACACGUAGGUGAAGUGAUUUACUCAUGGAGCUGAAGUCAGUCGAAGAUACCAGCUGGCUGCAACUGUUUAUUAAAAACACAGCACUGUGCAAACACGAAAGUGGACGUAUACGGUGUGACGCCUGCCCGGUGCCGGAAGGUUAAUUGAUGGGGUCAGCGCAAGCGAAGCUCCUGAUCGAAGCCCCGGUAAACGGCGGCCGUAACUAUAACGGUCCUAAGGUAGCGAAAUUCCUUGUCGGGUAAGUUCCGACCUGCACGAAUGGCGUAAUGAUGGCCAGGCUGUCUCCACCCGAGACUCAGUGAAAUUGAACUCGCUGUGAAGAUGCAGUGUACCCGCGGCAAGACGGAAAGACCCCGUGAACCUUUACUAUAGCUUGACACUGAACAUUGAGCCUUGAUGUGUAGGAUAGGUGGGAGGCUUUGAAGUGUGGACGCCAGUCUGCAUGGAGCCGACCUUGAAAUACCACCCUUUAAUGUUUGAUGUUCUAACGUGGACCCGUUACCCGGGUUGCGGACAGUGUCUGGUGGGUAGUUUGACUGGGGCGGUCUCCUCCUAAAGAGUAACGGAGGAGCACGAAGGUUGGCUAAUCCUGGUCGGACAUCAGGAGGUUAGUGCAAUGGCAUAAGCCAGCUUGACUGCGAGCGUGACGGCGCGAGCAGGUGCGAAAGCAGGUCAUAGUGAUCCGGUGGUUCUGAAUGGAAGGGCCAUCGCUCAACGGAUAAAAGGUACUCCGGGGAUAACAGGCUGAUACCGCCCAAGAGUUCAUAUCGACGGCGGUGUUUGGCACCUCGAUGUCGGCUCAUCACAUCCUGGGGCUGAAGUAGGUCCCAAGGGUAUGGCUGUUCGCCAUUUAAAGUGGUACGCGAGCUGGGUUUAGAACGUCGUGAGACAGUUCGGUCCCUAUCUGCCGUGGGCGCUGGAGAACUGAGGGGGGCUGCUCCUAGUACGAGAGGACCGGAGUGGACGCAUCACUGGUGUUCGGGUUGUCAUGCCAAUGGCACUGCCCGGUAGCUAAAUGCGGAAGAGAUAAGUGCUGAAAGCAUCUAAGCACGAAACUUGCCCCGAGAUGAGUUCUCCCUGAGACUUUAGGUCUCCUGAAGGAACGUUGAAGACGACGACGUUGAUAGGCCGGGUGUGUAAGCGCAGCGAUGCGUUGAGCUAACCGGUACUAAUGAACCGUGAGGCUUAACCUU
This 1381-nucleotide ribosomal RNA is filed under the name Salmonella enterica. RNAcentral describes it as "partial 23S ribosomal RNA". It matches the Rfam family "Bacterial large subunit ribosomal RNA", at positions 1568 to 2925 of the family's 2925-position model. The record is from RNAcentral. Lineage: Bacteria; Pseudomonadati; Pseudomonadota; Gammaproteobacteria; Enterobacterales; Enterobacteriaceae.